RNAcentral lists this long non-coding RNA (564 nucleotides) under Phasianus colchicus (ring-necked pheasant). RNAcentral's name for it is "lncRNA (ENSPCLG00000018137.1)". The record is from RNAcentral. Lineage: Eukaryota; Metazoa; Chordata; Aves; Galliformes; Phasianidae.
CUGCUCUCUUUUUUGCAAUCUGAACAGGGCACUGACAUGGCCAGGUCUGUGUAACCAUGCCCCCACCUCCUCUUCCUUGCUGCUUUGGGAUAGAGAUGUGGCCAAGAUCAGAAUGAGCAUCAGACUGGAAGAUGACGCACAUGGAAAUGCCAGAUGAAACACUGCUAUUCCCCCAGGACAUGCUGAGGAGCAUCACUGAAACAUUCCCAUGCCUGAGCCUACUACAGCACAUGACUUGCCAUGUUAAGCAGCAUCAUCGUGGCCCACCAGGUGUCAAGAGAGGCAUUUUCAGCAGAGACGAGUGAGGGCUAGACCAGCACACAGCAUUCAAAUUAAUGGGUUCUGAUCUUCAGCACACCGCUGGUAGUCCAUGGAGCAGUGAGCUUCAAAGAUGCUCUAGCCUCUGCUGACAUCCAAAAUACUCCCAAGGCAUAUCUCAGGUAAGGUUUAGUGCUUCAGGGGAUGUCUGCACUGUGUAGCUCUCCCACAACAUUCACUUUCACCAAGUGUGACAUUUAUUUUCUGAAAUGACAAUCAUUUCAAUCCUUGAGCACUGCAGAAAAU